RNAcentral lists this ribosomal RNA (487 nucleotides) under uncultured bacterium. Its description in RNAcentral is "partial 16S ribosomal RNA". It matches the Rfam family "Bacterial small subunit ribosomal RNA", at positions 28 to 507 of the family's 1533-position model. The record is from RNAcentral.
GAUGAACGCUAGCGAUAGGCUUAACACAUGCCAGUCGAGGGGCAGCACAAGGUAGCUUGCUAUCUGGGUGGCGACCGGCGCACGGGUGCGUAACGCGUAUGCAACUUGCCCUAUACAGGAGGAUAACCCGUCGAAAGACGGACUAAUACUGCGUAUGCUCACAACUUGGCAUCAAGUGGUGAGGAAAGAAAUUCGGUAUAGGAUAGGCAUGCGUCCCAUUAGCUUGUUGGUGAGGUAACGGCUCACCAAGGCAACGAUGGGUAGGGGAACUGAGAGGUUUAUCCCCCACACUGGUACUGAGACACGGACCAGACGCCUACGGGAGGCAGCAGUGAGGAAUAUUGGUCAAUGGGCGCGAGCCUGAACCAGCCAAGUCGCGUGAAGGAUGACUGUCUUAUGGAUUGUAAACUUCUUUUAUACGGGAAUAACAAGAGUCACGUGUGACUCCCUGAAUGUACCGUAUGAAUAAGCAUCGGCUAACUCCGUG